This is a long non-coding RNA of Lycium barbarum (goji berry), 996 nucleotides long. RefSeq lists it as uncharacterized. Lineage: Eukaryota; Viridiplantae; Streptophyta; Magnoliopsida; Solanales; Solanaceae. The record is from RefSeq and is a predicted model, not a curated record. The transcript is spliced from 3 exons.
AAUUUUGGACCCCAAUAUUCUUAAUUCCAAAUUUAAUUGGGUUUUUAUUUCGGAUGGUCCCCACAUGUCACCUGUGGCAAUUUCACAACUUGAAUGUCACCACAGGUUAAUCCUUCAAUGUUUUUAAUCCAUUUUUAUCACCAAGAGGAAUAAAAUUAACCAUCCAUAGAGACCAUAGAUUAAAGCAAAAAUCAAGAAUCUGUGUUGUAAGAGCAUCAACAGUUGAUAGCUCAUCCAAUUUUGUUGAAUGUAUGGAGAAAGCCUGGUUAAUUUCUAAGAUUUGCGGGCUUGGAAGAAUAAACGUUAAGUGACCAACGAAACCGAAAGGUGCAAAUAGACGAGACAAGGAUCUUCCACCGUAGGCUGCCUUCAGGUACCACUUACGUUUGGUGGCUCCACUUCUUCCUGGAGCAUUGCCGAGCCUAAGUCUAUAUAUAUAUGAAUUGCGUUAAGGGUAUGUCGGGGGGCCCUGUCCUAACUUGUAUAUUUCAGUCAUGUUCAUAGAGGCUUUGCAGAUAAUUUCUGUGUAUAGAUUAGUUAUGCAAGUUAUAAGUUGGUUCGAUCGGUUCCCAUAGGGUGUCGGGUGUCAGUCACGCCUUAUCAAGGGUGGGUUGUGACAGGUGGCCAAUGGGUAAUUUGCGAAGGUUGAAAAUUGCAAUUCGCGGGGGGGUUUAGCCUCCGCUAAUUGCUUGAAGAGGCUAAACCCCCCGCAAAUUGCAACUUUCAACCUUCAUAAAUUACUCAUUUUUUUAUGUAGUAUCAUCUCUACGUUAGUGAAAAUUGCAAACAAUUAUUGAUUCAAUUCAAUGCGUCGACAGAUUUUCUGUUUUCGGUAGUUGGAGGGUCCAAUGUUGCCCUUUAAAUAGAUUCAAAAUAGUACUAACUCCCCAUUUUUAGUGGAUGAAGCAAGUCCAUGUCUUUAUAUUAGCAUAGUACCUCAAUGUAUGCUGCUGUUCAAUUAUGUAAGGACACAAAAGGGGAAAGCAAUGGGCCGGG